UGCCUCAAGGCUGGGGAUAACAUUUGGAAACAGAUGCUAAUACCGAAUAAAACUUAAGUGUCGCAUGACACAAAGUUAAAAGGCGCUUCGGCGUCACCUAGAGGUGGAUCCGCGGUGCAUUAGUUAGUUGGUGGGGUAAAGGCCUACCAAGACAAUGAUGCAUAGCCGAGUUGAGAGACUGAUCGGCCACAUUGGGACUGAGACACGGCCCAAACUCCUACGGGAGGCAGCAUG
This 234-nucleotide ribosomal RNA is filed under the name uncultured bacterium. Its description in RNAcentral is "partial 16S ribosomal RNA". It matches the Rfam family "Bacterial small subunit ribosomal RNA", at positions 127 to 353 of the family's 1533-position model. The record is from RNAcentral.